This 21684-nucleotide long non-coding RNA is filed under the name Triticum aestivum (bread wheat). RNAcentral's name for it is "long non-coding RNA (TAES_LNC012726)". The stretch from base 17162 to 17233 matches the Rfam family "tRNA". Lineage: Eukaryota; Viridiplantae; Streptophyta; Magnoliopsida; Poales; Poaceae. The record is from RNAcentral.
CAAGUUACACCUCCUGCUGAAAUCCUUGCGACACUUGAGAUGAUCCCUGAUCUAGCUCGUGGUGACAUAUUGCGAUCUUAUGGUAAGUUGAUCCUUACCGAACGCUUGUACCAAGCGCUUCUUGAGCUUCCCAUGAACUUCAGGAAGGAAUGGCUGUUGAUGUUGAAUUAGUAGAAUGGCUCUUGAUGGAUAAUAUGUAUGUGUGUUGCUACUUUUAGUUCUCCUAGUUUGUGAGAGACUUCUAAACUUGUCCUAAAGUUGCAUUGUUAUGCACAAGACUUGCUAUGUGUUCUGGAUGGUGUGAGACAUGUUAUAAUAUGUAAUGUUGUUGGCAAGGUUACCAUAAUAUGUUGCUGCUGAUAUUUUUGGACAAAUUGAUGUUCUCAAGUUCAUAAUGAUAUGUGGCUGUUACAUAUAGUUUUCAGCCUAAUUUUUCAUGUUUUUGAACAGUUGAUAGUGUUAUCAAGUUCAUCAUAAUAUGCUGCUGUAUACUACUGUAAUGUAUAGUUUUCAGCCUAUUUUUCAUGUUUUUGAGGAGUUGAUCUUGUCCAGUGCAUGAUAAUGUGCUCAUGUUGCCUAUGUACACUUUUCAGCAAAUUUUUCAUGUAUUUUGGACAAUUGAUGUUGUCUGUGCCAAUUUUUAAAUUAUUUGCAUGCAUUUUUAUUGUAUUAUAAUACAUAAUCUCUCAAAUAUAUGGCAUGAUGAUCAAAUUUAAUGUUCAUACAUGUCACAAUGCCCAAUUCUACACUAUGCGCAUCCAAACAAGAUUUGGCAUUGCUCCGUCCCUUGAAUUCCAAGUGUCGAAUACAAGAACAUCCAAACAGAAAGUGUGGCAUUGCAGCUCAAUGCCAAUGCCUUGGGAUAUUAGGCAUUGGAGCCAAUGCAAUAUACAGGUCUUGGAUGUCUACAUCCAAACAGAGCGUUAGGGUAUUUGUAACCACAGGGACUAAACCUGGCGCUAGCGCGAGUAAUUGGACCUGUAGUGAAUUUUUCUCUAGCUUAAAUAUGUAUAUAUGGUUCAGAAUUUGAAAACAUUUGUAUUCUCUGGCCAGCCCAACUUUUCUUUUGUAGCUCCGCCACUUCUUUAAUCGCAAAUAGAAAAACAUGUAUGGUUAAAAAUUAGACCAACAACACAAGGGAGUGUAUAUAUGUAUGUGUAUGCACUAGUAAAAAAGGACCAUUUGUUCCGGUUCGUAAGGGCCUUUUGUCCUGGUUUAAAAACCGGGACUAAAAGGUCGGUACUAAUGCCCUUGGCCUUUAGUGCCGGUUCUUACACGAACCGGGACAGAUAGGCCUCCACGUGGCCACUGCGGGCAGCCCAGGCAAGGGGGGGCCUUUGGUCCCGGUUGGUGACAUAAACCGGGACCAAAAGGCAUCCACGCGUCAGCAACUGGCUGGAGCUGAGGUUUUUUUUUGGAAGGGGCUGAUUUAGGGGUUUUGGGGGUUAAUUUAGGUUGUUAUUAGCUGGCUAAUAGAGAGAAGUGGCCUCUCUUAUAUCUUCGUGCUUCGUUUACCAACGCUACUGCUAUGUUCAUUUCACCCGCUGAUAUAUAAUAACUCUUCAUGCUUGCAUCAUACAUCAUCAUAUAUAAUAACAAGUCCUACUAAUCAUGCAUCAUCAUAUAACUUCUACUCGUUAUUAAUAACAAGUCAUACGAUCAUCAUCCUCAUAGUCAUCGAACCCAACCCUACUUAAUUGUUCUUAGCACAUGUUCAUCAGUAUCAGGUAGGACCUAAACACCCUUAAGGUAAAAUAGCAUAAAACAAUAUAGACCCUGACUCUCCAUUAUGAAGAAUGGAGAUCAUCCUUCUCCAAUUCUUGCGCUUCGCUUCCUUUUGCUUCCAAGAACCUCCUUACGACUGUCCAUACAUUUUUUCCAUUCUUUGAUUGUCAUGUCUCCACUUCUUUUAGAAAUCCGGUAUGGAUAGUUGAGAUUCGUAGGAUGACCUGGUUGUAUGUUCAAAACAUCAAGGCGACCAUGCGUAUACAUCAGAUGAGGCACACAAUCAUUCGGGAUUAUCUGUUGAAAAACAUAGUAAUAACUUCGUAGUUAGCAAAGAUGUACUAGUUUUAGAAGUAUGCAAAAGAUGCACGGAUGUCGUUAUAGUAAAAAAUCUUACCAGGGUAUCUCCAUGGUAGUUUCCGUAGUUCAACACGUGCACUAGUGGCACGUAUUGACCAUAAUGUUGAGGAGUUCGAUUGUAGAUAUUGUAAUUCUCAAGAUCAGUACAAAAUGCGAUCAGAUGCUUUUUCUCCUUAUAAGUUAAUUCGGAGCCAUUGGUGUAGUGGGUUUUGUCUACCAUCUUUCGCACAUUCUUUGAAGAAUGAAAAUAAGCUGUCAAUGGAAAUAAGUUGUCAACUAUUUUGAAAUAAACAAUAUAUACUUAAUAACUAUGUUUGAGAAGCUCACAUGAGGGAAGAAUUGGAAGUGUAACAACAAGGACCCAAAUGUCCAUAUUGUCUUGCUCAAUUUUAAGAUCACCAAGAUCCAUGGUGACAAGCAUACCCUCAUCAAAACCAUACAUCUUGCAAAUUACUUCCCAAUUUUUGCAACCAAAAUGGGUUACACUCUCAGAAUUGUACAGCUUUACUUCAAAAUCCACACCAUGAUGGGUCCUUAGGUGAAUUUUUUUGGUUUCCAUACUUUCAUGGUCUUCAAAAUCCAUCCUCUCCAAGACAUAGCGUCUUGUAUAGCAUGGGAUAAGCUAGUUGAAUUGGAAAAGAUGAAAAGUACACGUUAAAAUAGUUGAAGUCGUUCUUAAUUACGAAAAAAAUUAUUGUCGUCGUUGCGUACCGUUUCAACAUCGAAGGUCUCCUCGAGCUUAAUGCUGAAGCGUUGAUCUUCGUCCAGCUCAAGGAACCUGUCGCACAUACCUCGGUCGUCAUGGCACCAGUCGCACUCCCCCGGGCGGUUUUCGUCGUCCGGGUACGAAAUUUCUGGCUAAUGUUCAUAAUUCAAAUAUUAAACUUGUACAAUUAAAUAUAUGUACUAAAAAACCUAAAUUAGUUCAUUAUUAUUAAUCACGGGUUGACUAUCGGUGAUGGUAGCUCCUCCUUUCAUUCCCGAGUGCAUUAUUACACCAAAUUGUCUAGCACACGGGAAUGAAGGAGAAGCUACCCCCACGACGGCGUGGAUGAUGGAGGGGGCUCCUAGAUUUCUGCAUAGUGCUCUCCAAUUUUAGCAUUCAAAGUAGGAGUACUUUUCCAAUAUGAGCAUUCAAUAAGCAAAACCAAAUUGUAAAAUAAAGUAGUAUUCAAAUUAGCAUGCAUUCAAUUAUAAGCAAAAGUACAUCAUCUCUUGUGUCCGUACAUUGUCGAAUAUUAUCACUAAUACUCCUCAAAUACUAUCAUACAUGUAGCAUCGCUAAUACAACUAGAAUCGUAGCGCCCGACGGGUAUCAUCGCGGGCGGUGGACACCCAAAGAUAAGGAACCAUCACAGGAUCAUAGCUCCAGUGAGAUCCCUGAAAAACCUGUCAGGUAUUGUCGAACCUGCCCUCCAACGCAACCAUGUGGCGACGAACGUGCUCGUCCUCCUCGCUGACACGGUGACGUACCACCUCCGCGGUGUCCGGAAGCCUCGGCACCAUCACUGGCCCACGCGACUGCCACCAAACAAGGAUCGGGUCAACAACGGGCUGGCUCCUUACCAACCUACGCCCCCCGGAAGGUAGCACCUCCCAAUACCAGCCCGGCGGAGCCCAGUCCCGGACAUGGCCCUGAUCAAGCAGGCCUCCACCGUCGAGUCGACGACAAGGAUACGGGAUAGGCAUCGUCGUCGUCGAUGCGGGAUUAAUUGCUUGAACUAAAAAAAUAAACUAGUUCUAUUAAUUUUCUUGCUAAAAAUAAACUACUUCUAUAUAUAUAAUAAAAUAAAGUUGUUUUAUUAAAUCAACUAGUUCAACUACUAAGCACUUACUAUAAAUAAAUAAAGUAGUACUCCCUCCGUCCGGAAAUACUUGUCAUCAAAAUGGAUAAAAGGGGAUGUAUCUAGACAUAUUUUAGUUCUAGAUACAUUUUUUUAAUCCAUUUUGAUGACAAGUAUUUUCAGACAGAGGGAGUACUUACUAAAAAUAAACUACUUCUAUAGUAAAAUAAAGUAGUUUAUUAAAUCAACUAGUUCAACUAUAUAUUAAGCACUUACUAUAAAUAACAUAAAGUAGUACUUACUAAAAAUAAACUAGUUUAACUAGUUCUAUUAUUUUUCUAACUAAUUAUAUUAAACACUUUCUCUUCUUAUUUUCCUUUUUCCUCUCCUGCUUUUUCUUCUAAAUAUGAACAUAUACAUAAAUGACUUUGAUCAUACACAAUUUUCCUAUACAUACACAAUAUGAACAUAUACAUAAAUUGACAAAGAAAAUUCUAUGAAGAAAAAAAUCAUUAAAAUUCUAUGAACAAAAUUACAACAAAAAAAUCAUAAAAAUUCUAUGAACAGAAAAAAAAUCAUAAAAAAUUGACUUAUUCGAUCUUUGCAUAUAUAUGAGCAUAGAAACAUAUAUAUUCAACAAUAAUACCACCCAAAAAAAAUCUAUGAACUGAAAAAAAAUCUAACACAAUAUGAAAAAAAUCUAAUUAAAAAAAUCUAUGAACAAAACCUAACUCAAUUAACUACACAUCUAAAUUACUACACAUCUAAAUUAACUACACAUCUAAUUAAAUUAGCAAAAUUUGCUAUAACCUCACGGGGAUGGCGACGACGUGAGGGGCGCGGCGAGGGCGACGGGCAUGGAACGGCGACGGCGACUGUGCGUGAGGGGCGGCGCGGUGAUGGGCGACGGUGAGGGGCAGCGCGACGACGGGCGACGAGCGAGGCAGGGCCGGCGGCGUCGCGGAGCACGGGGCGCGGGGCGACGACGGCGUNNNNNNNNNNNNNNNNNNNNNNNNNNNNNNNNNNNNNNNNNNNNNNNNNNNNNNNNNNNNNNNNNNNNNNNNNNNNNNNNNNNNNNNNNNNNNNNNNNNNNNNNNNNNNNNNNNNNNNNNNNNNNNNNNNNNNNNNNNNNNNNNNNNNNNNNNNNNNNNNNNNNNNNNNNNNNNNNNNNNNNNNNNNNNNNNNNNNNNNNNNNNNNNNNNNNNNNNNNNGGGACCAAAGGCCUCUUUUCAGCAGCCCAAAGGGCGGGAAGCAGAGGGCUUUGGUCCCGGUUGGUGGCACCAACCGGGACUAAAGGGGGGGGGCAAUUGUACCGGUUCGUGCCACCAACCGGGACCAAUGCACCCCUUUAGUCCCGGUUGGUGGCACCAACCGGGACCAAAGGCCUUGUGCUGGCGCGAUGCGGUGGGAAGUUUAUUCCCACCUCGCUAGCUAAGAGAGCUCAGCACCUAUUUAUAAGCUGCGUUGCAGCUUAGGUGCUGAGCUCCUCUCUAAUAUGCAGGCAUUAGUUGCCUACCCUUGUCACUAUCGUGUUGAGCCUAUUGGGCCUGCGGGCCUGCAUCCUGGCCCAUGUACAGAUGGGUUUCUAGUCGUAUGUAGACCGUGUGGCCCAUUAGGCGGCAUUUUUUAUUUUUUUCCAGUAUUUUUUUGUUUUUUGAAUUAUUUAUUUUCUUUUGAUUUUUGCUUUAUUUUUUUAUUCUUUUUACUUUUACCUCAGAAUAAUUAUAAUCUUUCUGUUACUCCAUUAGUUUCCAAAUUUGAAUAGUUUAAAUUUUAAUUCUUUGAAAUUUGUGUGAAUCACUAGUUUGUGAAUAACUUCACUAUAAAAAUAUAUUUUGAGUGAUUCUUUUUCCUGCUAUAUAAUAUUACUGCAUUUUAUCAUUAUAUUCAAAAACAGAUUUUGUUAUUUUAGUUUCUAUCAAAAAAAUCUUUAUGAAAAUUCUUUUUACUACUAAAGUUUCUAACAAAAAAUUCUUUAUGAUAAUUCUUUCUGCUUUUCAUGUUUUGAACAGAAAAUACUUUGAUAAUUUUAGUUGCAUAAAUUUUAUAUAAUUUUAGUUUAAAAAAUACUAGAGGUUUAUAAAAGCUUUUUGGUUGAUUCCUUUUGCUAUUAGAGUUUUAUAAAAGCAUUUACUGUUUUUUUGAGCUAUAAGACCUUGAAAUUGAAAAGCAUUUCAAAUGAACUCUGAAAAGGUCAAAAGUUGGCAUGGUAUCAUCAUUUCACCCACAUAGCAUGUGCUAAAAAGUUGAGAGGGUUAUGGGAAAAACUGGAUACACUUCGUGUACAAAAUGGACAAUCUCGUUCGAGGUAUUAGGGUUUCAUACAGAAACUCAUCUGUUACACAAGGAUUUCAUUUUUUUAAACUUAUUUGAACUCCUGACUUUUUGUGUGUUCAAAAUGCACCAUUCAAAGCCACAUCAUCAAUUUUCAACCAUCUCUGACUUCGUUUGUUAUUUUUCAUGCAUUUACUAAUUAUUUUGAGCUAUAAGACCCUAAAAUUGAAAAGCAUUUCAAAUGAACUCUGAAAAGGUUGGAAGUUGGCAUGGUAUCAUCAUUUCAUCCACAUAGCAUGUGCAAGAAAGUUGAGUAGGUUACCGCAAAAACUGGAUGCACUUCAUGUACAAAACGGACAAUCUCUUUCGAAGUAUUUGGAUUUCAUACGGAAACUUGUCUGUUACAAUAGGCAUUUCAAAUGAAUUACGAAAAGGUUGAAAGUUGGUAUGGUAUCAUCAUAAUAGUUGUGGACAAAGUCUUGACUUUUUCUUCGCUUGUGUCCUUUCCUUAUGCGCCAUAACCAUGGAUAAUCUUCAUCAUUUAUCAGGAUGUUUGGGUCAGCCUUGACUUUGUAGGGAGGAAUUUCAUGAAACUUUUCAUAAUCUUCGGGCAUGUCUGUCUUGCCCUCCACUCCCACGAUGUCCCUUUUUCCUGAAACAACUAUGUGGUGCUUUGGCUCAUUGUAUGAUGUAUUCGCUUCCUUAUUUUUUCUUUUUCUCGGUUUGGUAGACAUGUCCUUCACAUAGAUAACUUGUGCCACAUCAUUGGCUAGGACGAACGGUUCGUUAGUGUACCCAAGAUUGUUCAGAUCCACUAUUGUCAUUCCAUACUGUGGGUCUACCUGUACCCCGCCUCCUGACAGAUUGACCCAUUUGCAUUUAAACAAAGGGACCUUAAAAUCUACUCCAUAGUCAAGUUCCCAUAUGUCCACUAUGUAACCAUAAUAUGUGUCCUUUCCCCUCUCGAUUGCUACAUCAAAGCGGACACCGCUGUUUUGGUUGGUGCUCUUUUGAUCUUGGAUGAUCGUGUAAAAUGUAUUCCCAUUUAUCUCGUAUCCUUUCCAAGUCAUUAGAGUCGAAGAUGGUCCCCUGGACAACGAGUACAGCUCAUCACAAACAGUGUUUUCACCUCUGAGACAUGUUUCCAACCAACUGCUGAAAGUCCUGAUGUGUUCACAUGUAAUCCAGUCGUUGCACUGCUCCGGGUGUUUGGAGCACAGACGGUUCUUGUGUUCAUCGACAUAAGGGGUCACCAAGGUAGUGUUCUGUAGAACUGUGUUAGUGUGCUUGAGACCAAGAAUAUCUGUCCCUGCAUAUUAUUGUCUCCCCUCCAAGCAUGCCUUUUCCAGUCAGUCUCCCCUCGUACCGUGAUUUAGGGAGACCUGUCUUAUUAAGGCCAGGAAUGAAGUCAACACAAGACCCAAUGACAUCCUCUGUUUGAUGGCCCAUGGAGAUGCUUCCUUCUGGCCUAGCGCGGUUACGGACAUAUUACUUUAGGACUCCCAUGAACCACUCAAAGGGGUACAUAUUGUGUAGAAAUAUGGGGCCCAAAAUGACAAUCUCAUCAACUAGAUGAACUAGGACCACUACUAGCGAAAAGCCUAGCAGCAGCGCGGGUUUUGGGCCUCUCGAUAGCGCGAGGACCGGCGCUACUAAUAAGGCGCUACAACUAAUGUAUAGCAGUAGCGCCUGUUGUUCCACGCUACUGCUAUACAUGAAUAGCAGUAGCGCUCUUUAGAAAAGGGCACUGCUGAUGUUAUCUGCAGCGCUGUUUACAGGGAAGCGCUACUAGUAAGGCGGCGCUACUGCUAAAUUUUUUCCCCUCACUACUACUAGUUUUAUUAGUUUUUUUCCUGCAUAUUUGUUUUGUAUUAGAAUAGGGUUUAUACAAUAAUCUUUAGCAUAUCAUACACAUACAAAUAUAAUCAUAGCAUAUACAUACAAUUAGUCUCAUCAAAUCAUGUCAUCCUCAUAAUCAUCAUCCAACACAAAGUGGUCUCUCGCCAUCAUCUCGAAAAUAGCGAUACAAGUCUCGAUUACUUGCAAAUACAUCAUCAUCCAUCUAAACAAUGAUAUACGCGAGAAGAGCUAUCACUUUGAGUACAUGAGUUUGUAUCCCUCUCUCGCAUUAGCGUCAACCUAAACUAACUACUGCCUGUCGCUCGGAAACCGAAAACCGGUACACCUGGGCCUGACACUCCGGCCACUUGUCGUAUAUAUACUCCUGGCGUAGCACUUCUUCGUCAUAUAUGAUCUAUGCACCUGCAUCGUCACAUGAGUCGAUGAUAUGCAACAUAUAUAGUUGAGAAACAGAAAGAGACAGACUUGGCAAAAAUAGAAACAACAUAUCAUAAGCAUAAAUAACAAAGUUCAUCGUACCCACCAGUCUAGUAGUCUUGAGUUUGUUAGGAAGCCGUUGCCUCUUUGCUUUCGGUUCUACACCGCUCCACUCCCCGAGGCAGCACCGGUCUCAGUCUCAGCACCGGUCUUGAUGCCGGUCUGAGUCUCAGCGCCGGUCUCAGUCUCAGCACCGGUCUGCGUGUCGGUCUCAGUCCACGAUGCCACCGGUGGGCCCAGCAACAACAUUGGUUGAUCAUCGGUAAGGCUAAAAAAUUCGUCUGCCGCCCGGUAGACGUCGUCACAAUCACCAGAACCCUGUCCUUCAUCGUUGCUAGCCAUGUUUCCUAUUAUUAAAUCUAGUUAAUUAAUUCUAGACCUAAUAAAAUGAAUAAUGACAUAAAAAGGCCUAUUGUUUUGCAGGAAUGUUGACUCCUUCCUGGUGCGGCAAAUUCCGGGCACUCAAUAUGUCCUAGUUUGUAGCACAAGUCAUGCCGAAAUUCACUGAAAAUUUCGGCAUGACCUUUGCUAAAAAGUGAACAAAUCGAGAACCUGAAAUUUGCUGGAACAGAAAUGAAUCAACAUUCCGACAAAACAUAGGCCACUCAGCAUCAUUCCCUGGAUACAACAAAGCCACUUGGGCACAAUCGAACAACUUCAGUGAAAAGAUAUAACAUGACCACUUCAAUGAAAAGAUAUAAUCAACAAUAAAAGUCUAGGAAGGGAUCAUCUUUAAAAUAAAAUUUGCCUAAAUUCUUUUCCUUGAAAAAUAGUGGUCUUUUCAAAAAUCAAAAACUUUUGCAAAAUGACCUCACUAAACACUUCUCUGCCUAGGACAGAACCCAAAUUAUGUUGAUCUAGCUAUUCCUCUCUCUCACACAAACACACAUUAUUAUCUCUAACCCUUCUCUGCUUAGGACAGAACCCAAUUAAAUUGCAAAGGAACUCCAUUUCUCUAACCCUUCUGACCUAAUGCUCUAAAAUAAAAUUUUCCUCUAACCUAGCCAACCUACUUAACCUAGCUUGUUAAUCCAAUGAACCUAAUUAACCUACCUAUUUAACCUAGUUAGUUAAUCUAGUUAACCUAGAUAAUUAACCCUAAUUAAACUAGUUAACGCAGCUAGUUCUCUGUCAAAGCCCUAAAUAAAUUUUUGCACUAAUUAACCUAGAUAAUUAACCUAAUUAAACUAGUUAACCUGACUAGUUAUCUGUCAAAGCCCUAACUAAAUUUUUGCACUAACCUAGAUAAUUAACCUAAUUAAACUAGUUAACCUAACUACUUCUCUGUCAAAGCCCUAACUAAAUUUUUGCCCUAACCUAGAUAUUAACCUAAUUAAACUAGCUAACCUAUGCAUGAGAGAGAGAGGAGGGGUGGGGGCUUAUAGAGGAUGGCUCCGGUGGUGGCAAGGGAGGCAAUGGUGGCGAGGGAGGCAAGGGCGUCUCCAGUGACGGCGAGGGAGGCAGUUGUGGCGAGGAAGGAUCCGGUGCCGUCGACGGCGGCUCCGGUGGCGUCGACGAGGCCGCGUGGCUCCGUGGCGUUGGGGGCGGCUCCGGUGGCGUCGAUGGCGCACGGCUCUGGUGGCGUCGACGUCGGCAGAAGACGGUGGCGAAGUGGGGCGACGGCGAAUCGGGGAGACGGCAGCGGGGUGGGUUGAGGGAUUUGGGGGAGAAGUGGUGACCGGGGGGAAACGGUUUUUUGGUUAAGUCAAACUUAGCGGUAGCGCGUUUGGUAAAACGCGCUAUAGCUAAGAUAGCUAUAGCGGUUUUUACAAAACACGUUGUUGCUAUAGCUAUAGCGCAUUUCCUUUUCUGUUUCUAUAGCGGGGGUUUAGGACACGCGCUGCAGCUACGUUAGCUAUAGCGCCUCUUACAAACACACGCUACUGCUCUGCCUUCCUCCGUUUUUUCGCUUUUUCAUUUAUUUUGCUUUACAUUUUAUUUUUUCCGUUCUCCUUUUUCUAUUUCUUUCAUUUUCAUUUACUUUUCUAUUUGUUUUUCAUCUUAUUUUUUUCCGUUAGUAGUAGCGCUUUUCUUAGAAAAUGCGCUACUACUUAUGCCCUAGCGGUAGCGCGCUUCUUUCAAGCCCGCUAUUGCUAUGCGUAGCCUAUCAUUCUAGCAAUCGGAAUAUUAGUAGUAGUGCUUUUGCCACUACACGCGCUACUGCUAAGGUUGUAUCUGUAACGCGGUUUUUUCUCAAUCGCUACUGCUAUCUAGCACUAGCGCCCUUUUUUGACCCGCGUUGUUGCUAAAUUUCUGUGUAUAAGGUUUUCCCUAGUAGUGGACGUGCGUCAUGAUGUUGAAGAAGGAUGGUGGGAACACCAGCUCGAAACUGAUAAGACAUUGCACCACAUCACUCCUUAGCCUUGGUAUGAUUUCUGGAUUGAUCACCUUCUGAGAGAUUGCAUUGAGGAAUGCACAUAGCUUCACAAUGGCUAAUCGUACGUUUUCCGGUAGAAGCCCCCUCAAUGCAACCGGAAGCAGUUGCAUCAUAAUCACGUGGCAGUCAUGAGACUUUAGGUUCUAAAACUUUUUCUCUGCCAUAUUUAUUAUUCCCUUUAUAUUCGACGAGAAGCCAGUCGGGACCUUCAUACUAAGCAGGCAUUCAAAGAAGUUUUCCUUCUCUUCUUUGGUAAGAGCGUAGCUGGCAGGACCUUCAUACUGCUUUGGAGGCAUGCCGUCUUUUUCAUGCAAACGUUGCAGGUCCUCCCGUGCCUCAGAUGUAUCUUUUGUCUUCCCAUACACACCCAACAAACCAAGCAGGUUCACGUAAAGGUUCUUCGUCACGUGCAUCACGUCGAUCGAAGAGCGGACCUCUAGGUCUUUCCAGUAGGGAAGGUCCCAAAAUAUAGAUUUCUUCUUCCACAUGGGUGCGUGUCCCUCAGCGUCACUCAGAACAGCUAGUCCGCCGGGACCCUUUCCAAAGAUUAUGUGUAAAUCAUUGACCAUAGCAAGUACGUGAUCACCGGUACGCAUGGCGGGCUUCUUCCGGUGAUUUGCCUCACCUUUGAAAUGCUUUCCUUUCUCUCAACAUUGAUGGUUGGUCGGAAGAAAUCGACGAUGACCUAGGUACACAUUCUUCCUGCAGCUUCCCAGGUAUAUACUUUCAGUGUCAGCUAAACAUUGCGUGCAUGCGUGGUAUCCCUUGUUUGUCUGUCCUGAAAGGUUACUAGGAGCGGGCCAAUCGUUGAUGGUUACAAACAACAACGCGUGCAGGUUAAAUUCCUCCUGUUUGUGCUCAUCCCACGCACGUACACCGUUUCCAUUCCAUAGCUGUAAAAGUUCUUCAACUAAUGGCCUUAGGUACACAUCAAUGUCGUUGCCGGGUUGCUUAGGUCCUUGGAUGAGAACUGACAUCAUAAUGAACUUCCGCUUCAUGCACAUCCAAGGAGGAAGGUUAUACAUACAUAGAGUCACGGGCCAGGUGCUGUGAUUGCUUCUUUGCUCCCCGAAAGGAUUAAUGCCAUCCGCGCUUAAACCAAACCAUACGUUCCUUGGGUCACGUGCAAACUGAGCACAAUACUCUCUCUCAAUUUUUCUCCACUGCGACCCGUCAGCGGGUGCUCUCAACUUCCCGUCUUUCUUACAGUCCUCACUGUGCCAUCGCAUCAACUUGGCAUGCUCUUUGUUUCUGAGCAGUCGUUUCAACUGUGGUAUUAUAGGAGCAUACCACAUCACCUUCGCAGGAACUCUCUUCCAGCGGGGCUCGCCGUCAACAUCACCAGGGGCAUCUCGUCUGAUCUUAUACCGCAAUGCACCGCAUACCGGGCAUGCGUUCAAAUCCUCGUACGCACCGCGGUAGAGGAUGCAGUCAUUAGGGCAUGCGUGUAUCUUCUGCACCUCCAAUCCUAGAGGGCAUACGACCUUCUUUAUUGCGUAUGUACUGUCGGGCAAUUCAUUAUCCUUUGGAAGCUUCUUCUUCAAUAUUUUCAGUAACUUCUCAAAUCCUUUGUCAGGCACAGCAUUCUCUGCCUUCCACUGCAGCAAUUCCAGUACGGUACCCAGCUUUGUGUUGCCAUCUUCGCAAUUGGGGUACAACCCUUUUUUGUGAUCCUCUAACAUGCGAUCGAACUUUAGCUUCUCCUUUUGACUUCCGCAUUACGUCCUUGCAUCGACAAUGACCGGACGGAGAUCAUCAUCGGGCACAUCGUCUGGUUCCUCUUGAUCUUCAGCAGCUUCCCCCGUUGCAGCAUCAUCGGGCACAUCGUCUGGUUCCUCUUGAUUUUCAGCAGCUCCCCCCAUUGCAGUAUCACCGUAUUCAGGGGCACAUAGUUGUCAUCGUCCUCUUCUUCUUUGCUGUCUUCCAUCAUAACCCCUAUUUCUCCGUGCCUCGUCCAAACAUUAUAGUGUGGCAUGAAACCCUUGUAAAGGAGGUGGGUGUGAAGGAUUUUCCGGUCAGAGUAAGACUUCGUAUUCCCACAUUUAGUGCAUGGACGACACAUAAAACCAUUCUUCUUGUUUGCCUCGGCCACUUCGAGAAAAUUAUGCACGCCCUUAAUGUACUCGGAGGUGUGUCUGUCACCAUACAUCCAUUGUCGGUUCAUCUGCGUGCAUUAUAUAUAAUUAUGUGUGUCAAAAGUAAGAAAAACAGACAAAUAUCUAUCUAAAGUAAGAAAACCAUACAAGUAUUAGAAAGAAGAUAAGAACAAGAGGCUCACCACGGUGGUGCCUGCGACGAGAUCGGCGCGGGCGAUCAACGGCGGUGAAAACGGGGACGAGGCGUGACGGACCGCUAAAUCUAGACAAAUCUCAGGAAAAAUGGAGCUCUGAGGUCGAGCUUCGAGAGGAGAAAGCUUAACUAGUGUGGCUCGGGCAUUUCAUCGAACACCUCAUGUGCAUAGGAGGUGAACUAGAGCACGCAAAUGCCCUCUCCUCGCCGGAUUGAAAAAACAGAGCACUGUGGAGUGCUCUGCUAUGGCGAUUGGCAUAUAUAGGCAAAUUAUUUGUCCCGGUUCGUGGCAUGAACUGGGACUAAAGCCCCCCCUUCUACACCAGUUCAAGGCAUGAACCGGUACCAAUGGCUGUGGGCCAGGAGCAAGGUCCAUUGGUCCCGGUUCGUGCCUAGAACCGGGACAAAUGGGUCCAGACGAACCAGGACCAAUGUCCACAAGGCCCCGACCGGCCCCCUGGGCUCAUGAACCGGGUCUAAUAUCCCCAUGGGUCCCGGUUCGUGAAGAACCGGGACUAAUGGGCUGGCCAGGCCCGAACGAUAGCCAUGUUUUCACUCUUGCAUGUGUAUACACUCUCGUUACACUUACGCAUGCAUACACUCUCUUGUGAUUACCCUAACCCCGUUUGGAUGUAGGAAAAUUAGCUUGGAAUUGCGAAUCUGGAAUUGCCAGCAAAAUUCUGUUGUUUGGAGUGGUACAGAAUUUGGGCUGGGAAAAGUUGGCCCAAUUCCAAACGAUCGACCCGCGCCUGUCCACCCCUCGCGCUAAGUUUCCGAGCGGACGAGCUCGGAAAGGCUCGGAAAUGCCCCCCCACCCCCACCCCCGUACCUGUUCGCUCAGAAACGCCCUCUCUCUCGCGACUCCUCCUCCCGACUCCCCUGAAGCAGCCGGCGGCGGCGGCGGCGUCGGUCAGUUCUCCGGCCCUCCUCUCCCUCUCCCAUCCGUCCCCUCCCUCCUCUUCCUCCCAUCCGUCCCCUCCCUCCUCUUACAUCUCUUGUCCGGCCAUGGCGCGACCUCCUCCAGUGAGGCCCUCAAACCCUAGAUCGUAUCGGGGAUUUGCGGCGGGAUUGGGUGGUCCGCAGGGAACGGCGGCAGUAGUGGAACGACGGCGGUAGUGGCGCCUUCUCCUCCUGUGUGGAGCUCGAUUUUUUGUGGUGUCCUAAGGGGAACUUCAAUUUUUUCUGUACCUUCUCAGAUGCAGUCCAUUGCCUCGAAUUUAAGAGCUCAGAUUUGUGUGUUGCUAACUUAUGAUUGGUUUGAACUAUGCAGAUUCUCAGGGGAUUUUAGGAGCUCGAAAUUCGGUGGUGUCAAGGUAUAUUAUCUACUCCUCCAUGUUUGUACUGUGAUGUUGUUGCUGUGGUUUAGUAUGUACCAAUGCUCUGAAUAAUUCAUGGACAAAUGGUGUCUGCAUUGUAGCUUUUUUAUCAUGUCCCAACAAGAGUUGGUUGCCUACAUUACCGAAGAGAACAAAAGAAGAAAAAGAAAGAGGAUAUUGUUGACAAAUCAGUAUUUUGAAAUGUCAUGUCUAGCAUUUGCUUAUGUUAGUUCUCAGAGGGCACCGAGGAAUCUCGGAUGCUUCGAUGAUGAUGAGGAAAAGGUUGCAUAUCGAAAGUAUAUAUUGAAACAAACUUAUGAGGGGUCCGAGAAAAUUGCUAUGAUAAGCUACGCUUAACUAAAAGGAACUUCCAUGAUCUUUGUGCUAUGUUGCGUGAGAAGUGUGGUCUAAAAGAUAGCACGUUUGUGACAGUAGAAGAAAAUGUUGCUAUGUUCUUACAAGUUGUUGGACAUGGACUUAAAAUGAGGAUGUUGGGUGGCACGUACCAGCGUUCUUUAGAGACUAUCAGUAGGCAUUUGUCUACUGUGUUAUCAGCCAUCCUGUCUCUAACCGGGGAGUUUAUCAAGCUUCCUGAUCCUUCUAUCACCCCUCUCGAUGAUUACAAGUGGAAGUGGUUUCCUAAUGCACUUGGAGCACUUGAUGGGUGUCAUAUUCCGGUGUUUGUUAAUGCUGCUGACAAAGGGAGGUAUAGGAAUAGGCACCAAGAGAUCAGCACUAACAUGUUAGGUGUGGUUGACUGGAACAUGAAAUUUCUCUAUGUUCUACCUGGUUGGCAGGGUUCGUCAUUGGACUCGAGAGUGCUAAAAGAUGCUAUGAGAAUCAAUCGCGAAGAUGCAUUUGUUGUACCACAGGGUAUGACUCUUUCUCUUCGCGUUUCAUUUCUCAUAUGUACUUGUUAGCUAACUUACGUACUUGUCAAUAGGAAAGUACUAUCUUGUUGAUGCUGGCUAUACCAAUGGACCUGGAUUUCUAUACCAAAGUACUAUCUUGGUGAUGGUGCCCUUUUUUGUGUGGUAGCAUGCUGGUUGUGAUGGUGCCUUGUGUGUUAUGGGUUGUACAUGCUUCAUCUUUUGUUUGUACUAAUAUAUAUGUUUACCUUACUCGUGCUUGCUCUAUUGUUCUUACUUUUAUGCACAUUCAUUUAUUUUACUUGUAGAAGCAUGGCCGAACCAAAAGGGAAAAAAAGUAGAGUUUACCUUACAUGGACUCCUGAGAUGGACACGGCAUUGUUGGCUGUCCUUGUUGAGCAUCACAACAAUGGUGACCGUGCUCAAAAUGGUUGGAAGCCACAUGUGUAUAAUGCUUGCAUUAAGCAUGUCAAGGAUACAUGUGAUGUUGACAUUAUGAAGGAAAACAUAACAGGAAGAAUCAAAACAUUUGACAAGCAGUAUGAGAUCAUUACCAAGAUGCUUGCACAGAGUGGCUUUGGAUGGGAUUGGGUAAAGAACAUGGUGUCGGUUGAUAGUGAAGAAGUGUGGUCUCGAUAUGUGGAGGUACUUAACACCAAAUUUAUUUUGUGGUUAUUUUUGCAACUUUAAUAUGAUCUCAUUUGUGUGUUUUGUGUAGGCUAUAAGGAAGCACGUGCCUAUAGGAACAAAGUAGUGCACAAUUGGGAGUCUAUCAAUAUCAUAUAUUCAAAAGAUCAUGCGACCGGUGCAGGUGCUAGGAUAGGAGCUGAAUGUGUUCAAGAACCACAAGACACACCUGUUGUUGAAGAAGCUCCUGAGGUGCCUCAGAAGAGGCAACGCACUGGGGAUGCUAUCUUGUGCAUGAUGGGAAAGAUGAAGAUGUCUUUUGAUGAUGCGUUGAAGACAACCGAGCCACUUCCUAUGCCUAAGGUGACUCCUCCAACAGAAAUCCUUGCUGCACUAAAGAAGGUACCAGAUUUGGAAGAUAGUGAUAUGCUGAGAGCUUAUGGAAAAUUGAUUGUCAAUGAGCGUUUGUUUGAAGCACUCAUGGCGCUACCCGAGGAGUUAAGGAAGCCAUGGCUCUUGACCUUCGAUUAAUUGUUACUAUCCUGUUUAGUUGAUGUAUGGACUACUAUGUACUUUCAUGUUUGUGAAUUAUCCACUUGUGCUAUGUGUAAGAGACAUAGAAGUAUCUGCUUGUGCUAUGUGUAAGAGACAUAAACUUCCAAAAUUAUUGUCCAUGUUGUUUUCUUGGUACUUUAAAACUAUUUUCUGGUAUCCUUCCUUUUUCCAUAUUUAUUUCUACUUGUGUUAUUGUUUUGACCUUAUUCAGAACAUUUUAUAAUGUUAUUAUGUGUGUAAAAUAGACACAUAAUAUUUUUUUUUCAUGCAUGUACAAAAGUUUCUAUUGUCCAAACUCAAAAAACAUCCAAUUCCAUAGUUUGUACAUCCAAACAGCAAUUGGAAUUGAGUGCUACCCUCUGAUUCCAACAAUAAAUUCCAUGCACAACCAAACAAUAGAAUUCGAAUUGGAUCCCAUUUCCUUUCCAUCUUGGAUUUGGAAUUUCCAGUCCAAUUCAAUUCCAAGCAAUUUUUCCUACAUCCAAACACAGCGUAAGUACGAUGCAAAUCGUGACAUAUGGACCCAAUGGGAGAGUGAUAUUGAGUUGUUUAUUGUUUUUGAGAUAGUUAACUUGAUCUCGGGCCAUGUCGUCGCAUGUCCUUCUCAUUAUUUAUGAUCAAGUGCUGGUUAAUGCCAAUGAGAUGGUGGGGUCCAUAUCUCAGUGGUAGAGCAUUUGACUGUGCAUCAAGAGGUCACUAGUUUGAACCCAGUUGGGCCCUGAAGUUUGUUUUUAUCUCUCUUUUUUUAAUUGUCAAACUUAAUUUACUGCUCCAUAUAUAUUUAUUUCUUCAUUGCACACAUGUUUGUCUUGUAUUAAUCUGUUGUGUAACAGGUUCCGAUGUCUCGUUGCGGCUGUGAUGGUAGUGUUGUAUCGGUUAAUCUAAUUUGGUUAUUUGUUUGAUCUGUCGGUAUAGUUAUACGGACAUCAUCAGCAGCACCAUCUUCUUCAACAACGCCUUCAUUUGAGUCCUCACAAGCAGGGUCAACAGCCUAGUCCGAAGAUACUAGUACGACUACUGUCUAGAUCGAGGUGAGGCCCCAGCAAUAUAAUUGAUGUUGUUAUGCCCAGGGAAUGGGAUUCGCAUUAAAGUUUAUUACAUACAUCAUUGGCAACAUCAUAUUCUUCAACAACCCCACUUUCGAGCCCUUGCAAGCAGGGUCAAACAUCCGGGUCCAACGAUACUAGUGAAACUACGUGUCUAGAUAUAGGUGAUGCCCCCAUCAAUAUGCUUGACGGGUUUGUUAUGCCCAAUGAUUCACAUUAAAAAAAUAAGAAUAAAAAUCCUUAAGAGCAUGUUUUUUGUAGGGUCCUAGAGAGUAAUGUAAUGACGCAACCCGAACACAGUGCAUGAGCCAAUAUUUCUAGUUUCACAAUAUCAAUAGGAAACGAAAAAAAAAGAUAUGUGUAUGCAUUGUGUUGGCGCAUGGAGAAUUUUUUUUUCCACCACGCCACUAGUUUUGUUGUGUCGCUCGAUGAUGUUUAAUAGCCUGGCAUUUGGUACAGUUUGGAUUUCAGAAAAUUGCUACUUGUUGCUAAUGUCGUUGAUUUGCAGUUAAUGUCCUUUUAAUUUACUAGAUACAUUUGGACGUUAUUAUUAUCAUUAUUAAUUUCAGUAAACCAUAUUUCAGUAAUGUAUUUGUGUAUGUAGAUGCAUUGGAUCUUUAUUUGAGGGUCAUCGGUUGUUGCACUUUUUGCCAUGCUCUAGUAGGGAUGACAGUUUUGCCCAUGGGUAUGGGUACCCGCGGGUACCCUACCCGAAUACAAUGGGCAUGGGCAAGACUUGAAGAGGUUUUGUACCCAUGGGUAAUGGGUAUCCAUACCCGCAAAAUAUAUGGGUAGGGCAUGGGUAUGAAAUUGCAUCCAUGGGUAACCCAAUGGAUACCCACAAAAAAUUAAUAAAUGAAAAUAAGUCCUAUGACAUGUGGUGUCAACAUCCAACUCCCAUGGUCCAUCCCUAAAUCUUGUAUUCCCUAAACUGGCCAUAUCUCAUAUGCUCACACAUGCUUUCUCGCCACUCCCCCUACAUCAUAUAUGUCUCCUCGAAAAGAUGAAAUAUUGAAUUAAUCAUCGUCGAAAACUCCUGUCCAUCUCUCAAUCCAGCGAUCCCCAAUUCCCACAGUCGUCUCUCACUACAUCGAGAUUCCACCAACCGUUGCUCAUACUCUCUUGAUUCCUCCAAGAGGCCACCCACCGGAGGAGGCUGCGUCGGUGCUAUACUACUCGCUUAUCAUCACUUGAUUUUAGACUCAUUUAUCUAUGUUUUAUAAAUUUAAAUACCAUAUAUUAUACCCAUUGGAUACCCAUUGGGUAUAGGAUACCUGAUGGGUAUGGGCAUGGGUAUCGAUUUAUACCCAUAUGGGUAUUGUAGUGGGUGGGUAUAGAAGGUUUCCAUGGGUAUGGGUUUGGGCAGAAGGAGGUUGUACCCGCCCAUACCCUACCCAUUGCCAUCCAUGUGCUCUAGGGUCAGCCCUACCCGUUGAGAGCGAUGUUUGUACUGUCAAGAGUCGUUGAUUGGAACUGGACCUAGGCAACUAGGGGAACUCAUCAGGUAGCGGCAUCAAGCACUCAUUGUCGUCAAAGUAGAUCUUCCUCGGUAGCGCUCACCAAGCAGAGAAGUUGAAGUCCCCUUCGUCAUUUGGAUCUACGUCUGCACAUUGCCGUCCUGCAGCAACAUCUUGGUGAAGUACGGGAGUCCCCAAAACAGUCAUGUAUCGUCUGCAAAAGAAAAUUAUUAGCCUCAUGAGAUCCUUACAAGACUUUCUUAUAAUUUGGUGGUAUGAGUGCUUGGGUAUAUUCUUUUUUACAUUCAUUCUACAGCAUAUGCAACCUACUUAUAAGUCUGAAUACAAACCACCUAAUUCUAAAAUAAUUAAUAAAAGUGAAGGUCUAAAGUAUCAUAGUUAAUAGUAAUGAUGAAUAUAUGAAGGGGGCACAAGACAAUUUAUUCCAAUCUAGCACCCACCANNNNNNNNNNNNNNNNNNNNNNNNNNNNNNNNNNNNNNNNNNNNNNNNNNNNNNNNNNNNNNNNNNNNNNNNNNNNNNNNNNNNNNNNNNNNNNNNNNNNNNNNNNNNNNNNNNNNNNNNNNNNNNNNNNNNNNNNNNNUAACUUCUACGGGCACGUUUGGUUCAUUAGCUAGCCUUGCUUAACUAGGGUAGAUUUCCUUAGCUGGUCUGAGCAAGAGCUCGUAAGAGCAAACCUGGUUGUUUGGUUGCAACAUGUCGUACGCUGGAUAACGUCACAUAAAGCAACUCCAGUGGUGUGGGCGCGUCGUGGACCGUGACUCAUGGAGGGGAGUUAUGUUACGAGUGUACAAGGAAGUGGAAUUGAUUUUUUUGCGCCUGUUGGUUGCCCACACAGGCGAGCCAAAUUGGCUCUACUCCAGGAGCAAGGUUUUGACAGCAGUUAUUAGGUUAAUUGCCAUCAAAAGCUAGAUUUUCAUGUCCAUACCAAACGCCUAACCUUGUCCAGCAAGGCUAGUUUAGUUUUUGCCUUAGAUACAAACGCACCCUAAGUCGCUCUGCCAUUGCCAGCAACAUAAGCAUGGCCACAGUCACAAUAAAAUUUUACUUUACAAAUGAAAGGCUAUUAGAUUGCCCCCUAAGUACUAGUAUUACUAGUAGCUAGGUACAGUAAGAGCAGGCUGCAAGUACUAAUAGCUUAUGUCACUAUUUAUGAAAAAAAUGUUCUUAUAUAGUUGAUGAUUUUUAAGCAACAUGUAAAGAAAACAUAUUAGCAUAUACAAAAACUGUUCCAUAAAUGAUUUGUUCUACUUGCCUAGCUGGUUGCCAAUUUAGUUCUACCAAAUAGUCACAUCAUUUUAUAAAAUUUUGUCUUUUUUUUAGGGAAACAACUAACUUUAAUUAAGCAAAGUCAGGGAUCUCGUCCGCAACAACAGAAAGGAUACAAUCAGGGGGCGCAACUCGCCAAACCUGGGAAAUACCAUCACCUACCGCUACCUUAGCCAGGGUAUGAGCAGCACGGUUAGCUGUUCGUCUACGCCAUGAAAUCUUGCACCCCAUCCAGUCCCGCAUGAGUACCUUAAUAUCUUCAACAAUGGGCCCAGCGACCGAUAGGUUUCGAAGAUCAGAGUUGACCAUGGACACUGCUUCACGACAGUCCAUCUCCACGUGAAUUCUUGUAAUCCCCAGCUCUCUGCAUAAGUUCAGAGCCAAACGACAGGCCAGCAGUUCAGCGAUCUCCGGCUUCUGGCAGUUAGGGAAGAGCUGGGCCAGUGCCCCUCUAAACGCGCCUUCGUGAUCUCUGACCACCACCGCGCCGCCUCCAUUACCAGUGACAGCAGAAAGUGCGCCAUCAACGUUCGCCUUGUGCCAGCCGGCCUCCGGCGCCUGCCAUUGUUCCGGUGGGGGUCUGGCUUUAACACAAGCAGUCUUCGUCACCACCUCCGUCCAUUCAUCAAUCAGCCGCGACACCGAACACGCUACCUCAACCGGGCUUUUGAUGCGUACCCCGUCACGAGCUUCAUUCCUUGCGAGCCAAAGCUCGUACAGCCCCUGCAUGAUCAUCUCCUUUUCUUCCUCACGCGCAUUGCCCAUCCAGUUCCAGAGCCACCUGCCAACUUCAUGGUUAGUAGCAACACCAACAGGAGGAACCGGAGCAGGAACGCUGCGCCGGGCAGCCAACUCAGCCCAGAACUGCUGUGAAUGAUGGCAGCUCCAAAACCGGUGUAGUAACGUUUCCUCCCGACCGCAGGCAGUACAGAAGAUACCAGGCUUAAUCCGACGUCGCAGCAGUUCUGACCCAGUGGCCAGUCCAUUGCGCAUCAGCCGCCAACAGUGGAUCUUAACCUUAUUUGGGGCGUGAGUGCCCCACAAGGAUAGCCAGCUCCUGUGAGCAGAAACCGAGGAAGACGAUCCAGGGCUCCCUGUCGGUACUUAUAAGAUUGAGUUACCUUAAUCUUUUGUUGUGCUUGUCAUUUUUAUUAUACCUAGUUACUGUAUUGUCUAAUAAGCUUGUCAGUAUUUAUAAGAAUCGAGUUGACACAACAUUUUGCUAUGCUUGUCAAUUUAAUUCCAUCUAGUUGUCGUGUUUUCUCAUAAAGCAUGUCCAUUAUUGUACAAUCUAGUUGUCGUGGUGUUUUGUUAUACUUAUCAGUUUAAUUCUAUCCAGUUGCCAUAUUGGUUCAUAAAACUUGUUGAUUGUUUUAAAAA